UCCGUAGGUGAACCUGCGGAAGGAUCAUUACCUAGAGUUUGUAGACUUCGGUCUGCUACCUCUUACCCAUGUCUUUUGAGUACCUUCGUUUCCUCGGCGGGUCCGCCCGCCGAUUGGACAACAUUCAAACCCUUUGCAGUUGCAAUCAGCGUCUGAAAAAACAUAAUAGUUACAACUUUCAACAACGGAUCUCUUGGUUCUGGCAUCGAUGAAAAACGCAGCGAAAUGCGAUAAGUAGUGUGAAUUGCAGAAUUCAGUGAAUCAUCGAAUCUUUGAACGCACAUUGCGCCCCUUGGUAUUCCAUGGGGCAUGCCUGUUCGAGCGUCAUUUGUACCUUCAAGCUCUGCUUGGUGUUGGGUGUUUGUCUCGCCUCUGCGUGUAGACUCGCCUUAAAACAAUUGGCAGCCGGCGUAUUGAUUUCGGAGCGCAGUACAUCUCGCGCUUUGCACUCAUAACGACGACGUCCAAAAGUACAUUUUUACACUCUUGACCUCGGAUCAGGUAGGGAUACCCGCUGAACUUAAGCAUAUCAAUAAGCGGAGGAAAAGAAACCAACAGGGAUUGCCCUAGUAACGGCGAGUGAAGCGGCAACAGCUCAAAUUUGAAAUCUGGCGUCUUUGGCGUCCGAGUUGUAAUUUGCAGAGGGCGCUUUGGCAUUGGCAGCGGUCCAAGUUCCUUGGAACAGGACGUCACAGAGGGUGAGAAUCCCGUACGUGGUCGCUAGCCUUUACCGUGUAAAGCCCCUUCGACGAGUCGAGUUGUUUGGGAAUGCAGCUCUAAAUGGGAGGUAAAUUUCUUCUAAAGCUAAAUACUGGCCAGAGACCGAUAGCGCACAAGUAGAGUGAUCGAAAGAUGAAAAGCACUUUGGAAAGAGAGUUAAAAAGCACGUGAAAUUGUUGAAAGGGAAACGCUUGAAGU
Molecule: small RNA, 918 nt
Filed under: uncultured fungus
Lineage: Eukaryota; Fungi
Description: eukaryotic LSU rRNA
Rfam family: Eukaryotic large subunit ribosomal RNA (bases 488-918)
Source: RNAcentral